Molecule: long non-coding RNA, 776 nt
Organism: Apus apus (common swift)
Lineage: Eukaryota; Metazoa; Chordata; Aves; Apodiformes; Apodidae
Exons: 3
Source: RefSeq, a predicted model, not a curated record
CUGCAGAAUACAUGUUUAGAUGGCAGAAGAUGGGUGAAAAUGGAAACAGAUUCCUGCGUGGAAGUCCCAGGGUAUGAAAAAGAAGGCAGUGGUUUGAGGACCCUAAGUUUAAACAAAUCCUGUGUCUAUGGAAAGAAGUUCUACCUUUACUUGUUUUACUGAUCUGAACACUUGGAAACAAUUUUCAGCAGACCCAGAAGGCAGCUCAAGGUGGAUAUGCCAGUCCACAGACAGGUACUUCUACUGAUUUCAGAGAAAAUAUGCCAAUACAGAGAGGAAAGACACUUGUAGCACAUGGCUACAAAUCAGAACCUUGGGAAGAAAUUCAGUUCCAGGAAGCCUGUUGAUUAAAUAAAAUUCUUUUUUAUUUUGUGUGACAACUAAAAGCAAAGCAAAACAUGUUUUAGUGUGGCUUGGCACUUAAAUUUGUACAUGCAAGGAGAGAUGAAGCAAGAUUCACCUGUAAUGACUGCCUAAUCCCUAAAGUUAAGAGAAACUUCCAAGUCAAAUUCAAAGAGAGUUCAGUCAACUAGCCCAGAAUUUAAGGCAAGGAUGAAAACUAAAUUUAUUAAGAAAGUCAGAGCAAUUAAAAUGUUCCGCAUGACAUUUCGCCCAAAAAAUAUGGCAGACCAUGACAAGAAUUGUGAUAAUAGCUUUUUGUAAUCGCUUUUUUCUUUCCUUAUUCUAACUUUCUUUGCUACAGUAAGUAUUAAACAAAGUUUAAGUCAUGCUGUUUCAGAGGGCCAUUAAGUAAUGUAUGGUUGAAACAGAAAUAA